RNAcentral lists this ribosomal RNA (423 nucleotides) under Campylobacter jejuni. RNAcentral describes it as "partial 23S ribosomal RNA". It matches the Rfam family "Bacterial large subunit ribosomal RNA", at positions 2490 to 2925 of the family's 2925-position model. Lineage: Bacteria; Pseudomonadati; Campylobacterota; Epsilonproteobacteria; Campylobacterales; Campylobacteraceae. The record is from RNAcentral.
CCCCAAGAGCUCACAUCGACGGGGAGGUUUGGGACCUCGAUGUCGGCUCAUCGCAUCCUGGGGCUGGAGCAGGUCCCAAGGGUAUGGCUGUUCGCCAUUUAAAGCGGUACGCGAGCUGGGUUCAGAACGUCGUCAGACAGUUCGGUCCCUAUCUGCCGUGGGCGUAAGAAGAUUGAAGAGAUUUGACCCUAGUACGAGAGGACCGGGUUGAACAAACCACUGGUGUAGCUGUUGUUCUGCCAAGAGCAUCGCAGCGUAGCUAAGUUUGGAAAGGAUAAACGCUGAAAGCAUCUAAGCGUGAAGCCAACUCUAAGAUGAAUCUUCUCUAAGCUCUCUAGAAGACUACUAGUUUGAUAGGCUGGGUGUGUAAUGGAUGAAAGUCCUUUAGCUGACCAGUACUAAUAGAGCGUUUGGCUUAUCUUU